Molecule: unclassified non-coding RNA, 352 nt
Filed under: soil metagenome
Description: partial contains 5.8S ribosomal RNA, internal transcribed spacer 2, and large subunit ribosomal RNA
Rfam family: 5.8S ribosomal RNA (bases 1-120)
Source: RNAcentral
GAUGAAGAACGUAGCGAAAUGCGAUAAGUAAUGUGAAUUGCAGAAUUUAGUGAAUCAUCGAAUCUUUGAACGCACAUUGCGCCCGCCAGUAUUCUGGCGGGUAUGCCUGUUCGAGCGUCAUUACAACCCUCAGGCCCCCGGGCCUGGCGUUGGGGAUCGGCGGAGCCCCCCGUGGGCACACGCCGUCCCCCAAAUACAGUGGCGGUCCCGCCGCAGCUUCCAUCGCGUAGUAGCUAACACCUCGCGACUGGAGAGCGGCGCGGCCACGCCGUAAAACACCCAACUCUUCUGAAGUUGACCUCGAAUCAGGUAGGAAUACCCGCUGAACUUAAGCAUAUCAAUAAGCGGAGGA